Molecule: long non-coding RNA, 1307 nt
Organism: Helianthus annuus (common sunflower)
Lineage: Eukaryota; Viridiplantae; Streptophyta; Magnoliopsida; Asterales; Asteraceae
Exons: 3
Source: RefSeq, a predicted model, not a curated record
UUUUUCUACCUGUCGACUACACACACCAAACCCCACCAUUCUCAUUACUUAAGUAUUACCACUUAACUUUUAACAUGAUUGUUUUCCCUGCUCCUCAUUUUGACAACUAUAAUACUCAACCAUGAAGAUUUCUCAUCAAAUUCUCAUCUAGAACACCCACACAUCUAAAUAUCUAGAGAGAGAGAGAGAGAGAGAGAGAGAAACAGCGCGAGAGAGAGAUAGGGAUGGAGAAGCAGUGCCGGUCACCCCUCUAUGGUGGUGCGGCGAUGUGCAGACGACGGAGCCGUCGCUCCGGUGACUAGAAAUGCCGCUACGGCGGCUGUGGAGCUUUUCACCGACAGAUUUUUCCGAUGUUGUUGAUGAUGAUGAUGGAGGCUGAUGGUGGUGACGAUGGCGGCUGCGUCGCCACCGCCUGCGGCGACUGUUGACACAGUGGCAGUGGUGGUGGUUGUCACAGCUCGGGUUCGGGUACAGGGCUCCAGAUUCGUUAGCUCAGAUUCGGGUCACGUUCAAGCGGGUCAGCUCAGUUCACAUCGAGUCUCGGUUCGGGUCAACAGUUAACGAUUUUGGUUCGGGUGCGCGAAUCAGUUCGGUGUCGGGUCAGACACACGACUCCGGUAAGUGUCGUUUAUCUUCAGUUUUUAGUGGCUUGUUGGUUUACACAGUGCUGAUCUUUUUGAAUCCUGGUAUUUGCGUGGUGAGGGUUAUGCUCUAAUUCAAGUUGCGGAUUCGGUCCACUCGGUUCACAGGUUCAGUUUCGAUGUUCGGUCAACUCGGUCAAACCGAGUUGACUCGGUCAACACACAGUCAGAACGGCUCAGACUUGGAGCCGGUUAAUUCAGUCAAACGGGCAGCUUUCGAUUGGAGUUCGGGAUUUUGGUUUGGACUUGCUUUGGUGUGGCUCAACUCGGUUGACUCGGUCAGACCGAGUCAACUCAGUUAACAUCGGUCAAAACGCAGUCAACUCGAAGAACCGGAAUGCUCUAGUUGCACGCUAGCGAGUUCACAUUCUUGGAAUGACACUACGGAAUCACGCUAGGCUAGCUUUGCACAGGAAUGUCAAGGUUGCAUUUUCAAAAAUAUGGAACGGUUGGAAUAGGAGAACCCAUGGUGAUUUGACUACUUAGCGGGCGUUCACUGUUUUGAAGUCUUAGCUUAUUUGCUUCCGCUGUGCAAUGAAGAUACCGGUCCAGUCACACCAUGCUCUGAUAUUUCGGGGUGUGACAUGUAGUAGACGUCUAAAUCCGUGUGUUGGGUUCUUUAAAUAACAUUGAGCAUGAACUUUUAUUUGAACAAUUUUACUAUGC